GCUGACUCUCUUUUUGGAUUUAGCCAGCCUGCACCCAGGUGAUUGAAAGCCUUAUUGCUCACACAAAGCCUGUUUGGUGGUCUCUUCACAUCGACGCUCAUGAAAUUUGGUGCCAAAACCGGGGAUUGGGGGACCUCCCUUAGGAGAUCAAUCCCUUAUCCUUCCUCCUGCUCUUUGCUCCAUGAGAAAGAUCCACCUAUGACCUCUGGUCCUCAGACCCACCAGCCCAAGGAACAUCUCACCAAUUUCAAAUCCGUAAUAUAAGAAGACAGGAAUGUCAGGCCUCUGAGCCCAAGCUAAGCCAUCAUAUCCCCUGUGACCUGCACGUACACAUCCAGAUGGCCGGUUCCUGCCUUAACUGAUGACAUUCCACCACAAAAGAAGUGAAAAUGGCCUGUUCCUGCCUUAACUGAUGACUUUGUCUUGUGAAAUUCCUUCUCCUGGAUCAUCCUGGCUCAAAAGCUCCCCUACUGAGCACCUUGUGACCCCCACACCUGCCCGCCAGAGAACAACCCCCCUUUGACUGUAAUUUUCCUUUACCUACCCAAAUCCUAUAAAAUGGCCCCACCCCUUUCUCCCUUCACUGACUCUCUUUUUGGAUUCAGCCACCCUGCACCCAGUCCUGAGGAAGAUUGACAUUUGCCACACCUGCAUAAAGAACCCACUUGGUGAAAACCCAAGUUUUCUUGGAGUCUGCUGCUGUGAGACACGAGGAAAAAACAGUACAUGUGUACACGGUAGAUCUGGAAGGGAAAGCAGAAAGUAUCCAACACUUCUUGCAUGAAGAAAACAAAAUAAUUGGAGUCUAUUCCUCUCCACCUCGCAUCUGGGAUGUAACUUGAUGGACAAAUGGAAUGGGUGAAAGUGACAUCCUGGUACUCCUAAGGCUGGAUUAGAAGAAUCCUUUCAUCUUUCUCCUGGACCUACUGGAGUAUUUUCUCUAGGAAAAGCAAAUUAAUGUAUAAGAAGUCCAACUACCCUGAAACUGCCAUGUGAUGAGACAUACAAGCUAUAGGACAAACCAGGAAUAUUAAG
This 1035-nucleotide long non-coding RNA is filed under the name Homo sapiens (human). RNAcentral's name for it is "HSALNT0343195". The record is from RNAcentral. Lineage: Eukaryota; Metazoa; Chordata; Mammalia; Primates; Hominidae.